Long non-coding RNA from Lynx canadensis (Canada lynx), 1876 nucleotides. RefSeq lists it as uncharacterized. NCBI's taxonomy places the organism in Eukaryota, Metazoa, Chordata, Mammalia, Carnivora, Felidae. The transcript has 6 exons. The record is from RefSeq and is a predicted model, not a curated record.
UGUUAUAAACAGCCUUAUUUAUAAUGAUUGUGCGGCUAUAAAUAGUUUGGUGUGCUGGGUGUAGCAGAGUGGCUCGGCUCAGGGCUGCCAGAGCCAGGAGGAAAGCCACAGGAGGAGGGAAGUCCUCGGCCGGGAAGGUAUUUGAUCCUCUUCCUCGCUGUCCCUUGUGGAAGGAGAAGUUGUGCACAACGGUGUUCCCAGGAGAAGGUGGAAGUUACUCACUUAAUUCACAUCCGCCCCGAGAUCUCCCGUGGAAAGGUUGAAAGGGAGUGGGCAUUCCUGUACGGCCUGCUUUGUGCCUAUUCAUGGACAGUGAGCUAAUUACGGGCUCCUUCUCAUGCUGGAGGGUGGAGGGAGACAUCCUGUUAUUUUCCAGAACAGGCAAAGCUCUAAAGUACAGCUGAAGUCUAUUAGGUAGGACGGUACAAAUCAGGGAGAGAAGAACCUCGCAAGAAAUUGACUUCAUGAUGUCAUCUUAGCAUCCUUGAGACACGCGCUGAGCCCCUGUUAGCGGAAGUAGUCACAGCUGGAGGUUUGGGGCAGAAGGACACAGGCAAGCAAUCCUUCUUGGAAAAGGGAUUACUUUUUUUUUUUUUUUUUUUUGCUGUAUCAUCAGCAACCUCUUCAUUGUCGUCAUCAUCAUUAUUGCAAUUUUUGUCCAAGAGCGCCGUGAGAUGCAUCCUAUUGGAACCCGUCCCCCUCGAGCUGUAGCGAGGACAGCCUGCCCAAACACCUGUGACGCGGAAGGCACGUGGUAAAUAUUCGCAGAGAGAACAAACGAAGGUUUACUCUCUUUUUAAAUCUCCCCGAUGCCGAGUACUAGCUGAGAAGGAUGUGGUAUACGUGCCUUAGUUCAGGCCCUUUGGCUACGCAUUCUUGGAACUCGAAGUGUUUGGAGCUUCAGGACGUCAUUAGCUCCUUCCAUUCUGUUCCCCUCCUUUGACCAAGUGACCGGUUGGAAGCCAUUUGCUUUUCUAAGAGAUGGAGCUGGGAUAGAGUGUCUCUUGCCUUCCAGAAACGAGAACUCAUGUUUUUCGGAGAUGGAGAGACACGCCCAUUAUACAGAUCAGGAGAGUGGAGGCCCAGAGAGAUGUGAAUCACUCACUCCAGGUCACAGGCAUCAGCUCGAAGCCCAGAUUGAAAACGAACCUCAUCGAUUUCAAAGUCUGUACUGUCCAUGUCACUGACCCAGCUAAACUUUACGGGACUACAUUUUCCCCUACACUUCUCUCCCUGACUUCAGCUCGCUGGUGAUGGGCUGUGUGUGAGUGUCUGGGGUCUGAGGCGCCUCGCGGCUGCCAUCCUGUCUGCCUGGCCGCGCUGCACCCCCACUUCCCCCAGCCUCAGGUGGACGGGCCCCCCAGCAAAUGCCUUUCCUGGAAACAUGAGGCCGCCACAGCCCUCCGCCGCCCGACCCCCUCUGCGUUCAAGCCUCUGCUCUGUCUCCACCGGCCAGCCGUGCCCCCCCCCCCCCACCCGACCUCACCCUGACACAGGGAGAGACCCUUGAUGGCCAGACGUGCAUUGCAAGCCCCAACCAACGCUCCGUUUGGAAACAGGAGAAUUUUCAUUUUGCUUUGGUUUGGGGGGGGGGGUUGUAAAACUGGGACACAUGCAAAAGAUCUAGGCGGACAACGGGGAGGGCGAGAUGGGGAGGAAACAGAGGAAAGGGGCUGGGGGCAGCAGGUGGGAGGGGGCCGGCAGGACCCGUGAAAGAAUAAACUAAGCCUUCAUCUCGGAGUCUGAUCCGUUUCUGGACCCUGAUGGGAAAGGUCAUGAAUUUUAAAAUGUAUCUCUCCGGCCGACAGCUCCAGUCAUAAAGCCAGCACUCUCUGAAGCUCUGGACGGCAGGCGGCCGGAGACCUGAGACCGAGGG